This 489-nucleotide ribosomal RNA is filed under the name uncultured bacterium. RNAcentral's name for it is "partial 16S ribosomal RNA". It matches the Rfam family "Bacterial small subunit ribosomal RNA", at positions 29 to 507 of the family's 1533-position model. The record is from RNAcentral.
GUGAACGCUGGCGGUAGGCCUAACACAUGCAAGUCGAACGGCAGCACAGGAGAGCUUGCUCUCUAGGUGGCGAGUGGCGGACGGGUGAGGAAUACAUCGGAAUCUGCCCAGUCGUGGGGGAUAACGUAGGGAAACUUACGCUAAUACCGCAUACGACCUUCGGGUGAAAGAGGGGGAUCGCAAGACCUCUCGCGAUUGGAUGAGCCGAUGUCGGAUUAGCUAGUUAGCGGGGUAAUGGCCCACCAAGGCGACGAUCCGUAGCUGGUCUGAGAGGGUGAUCAGCCACACUGGAACUGAGACACGGUCCAGACUCCUACGGGAGGCAGCAGUGGGGAAUAUUGGACAAUGGGCGCAAGCCUGAUCCAGCCAUACCGCGUGGGUGAAGAAGGCCUUCGGGUUGUAAAGCCCUUUUGUUGGGAAAGAAAUCUUUCAGGCUAAUACCCUGGGAGGAUGACGGUACCCAAAGAAUAAGCACCGGCUAACUUCGUG